GACGAACGCUGGCGGCGUGCUUAACACAUGCAAGUCGAACGGAAAGGCCCUGCUUUUGUGGGGUGCUCGAGUGGCGAACGGGUGAGUAACACGUGAGUAACCUGCCCUUGACUUUGGGAUAACUUCAGGAAACUGGGGCUAAUACCGGAUAGGAGCUCCUGCUGCAUGGUGGGGGUUGGAAAGUUUCGGCGGUAGGGGAUGGACUCGCGGCUUAUCAGCUUGUUGGUGGGGUAGUGGCUUACCAAGGCUUUGACGGGUAGCCGGCCUGAGAGGGUGACCGGCCACAUUGGGACUGAGAUACGGCCCAGACUCCUACGGGAGGCAGCAGUGGGGAAUAUUGCACAAUGGGCGGAAGCCUGAUGCAGCAACGCCGCGUGCGGGAUGACGGCCUUCGGGUUGUAAACCGCUUUCGCCUGUGACGAAGCGUGAGUGACGGUAAUGGGUCAAGAAGCACCGGCUAACUACGUG
Molecule: ribosomal RNA, 468 nt
Filed under: uncultured bacterium
Lineage: Bacteria
Description: partial 16S ribosomal RNA
Rfam family: Bacterial small subunit ribosomal RNA
Source: RNAcentral